GUUUGUUCAAAUGCUACUAUGUAACAAUAACGUAUCAGCCUCAUUGGCAGGUGUGACUCUGAUGUGUCUGGAGUGCAUUUGAAAAAAAUUGCAUUGCACAGAAUCCUCAAGUCAAUUUAGUACAUUUUAUUACUGUUCCACCAUUUAUACAAGUACAUAUAAUUUUGAAUGCAUCAAUUUCCAUAUCAUCUUUUUGUUUGUUUGUCUGAACGUGUGGUGUGGAAGUAGCAGUGAUGAAACAUGGGAUGAAAAUAUCAACUGUAGUUGCCAUGGAUGCAGACUGAAAAAUUAUUAUUUUUUCCACUUGACCAAAAAGACAGGACUACAGGUUCACCCAACCACGGACAUGCAAGUUACUGAGUCAAGAGAGGAAGAAAAAACUGAGCCAUGUGACAAGCGGCGCUCCUCGAGUGUUUGUUUCUGCUACGGUUUGACGAGUGCUGGGAGGAAAACGCUGAACGUCACAUGGAUGGAACUGAAAAGUGGCAGAUGGAUGGCUGAGAUGACUAAAUAUAUAUAUACAUAUACUUACAUACAUGCAAAGGUGGAAAGACGAAUGUUGGUUUGAAUAAGCCAAGCACAAUUUUGGGUUGCUGGUACCUUACUUGACUGUUUUGUGCAAAAGCAUUUAGCUCAAUAAAGUCGUACUACUUCGUCCACUGUGUUCAUCAUGAAGUACAAUCUAAAAUCUGAGCUUUCUUGUCCUUCACGUUCUUCCUUCCAUCUGUCCUGCUGGUUUUCUUUCACUGUCAUUUCUUCCUUUUUCAUCUCAUAUGAUAAUCAUCAAAAUGUUUCUACUGUAGUAUCAAUGAUAAAAAUCCCUCCUUUGUCUUUCCUGGGCCGGUGUAUUCUAUUUUCACUAGUUUGCACUGAGAGUGCUGCAUAACUGCACUGUGCUAAAGACACAAGCAGCAUGACGCACAUGCACACAGGUUAAGUACAAGACAGAGAUUUGGGUUACACUUAACCAGUGCAUUUAAAAGUGAUGCUAUGGGGUCUUUAAACGUCCACAUGGGGCAAGUUAGAACUGUCUCAGUAUCACCGUAAACCUGCACAUGUGUGAAUCUGAAUGGGCUGGUUUUUGCUGGUUGCUGAGAGUUUAAGGAUGCUCAGCUCUGUAAAACGCUGUAAUGUCACCUUAACUUUUUUAACCAGGUAAUUCAUUAGUAGCGGAGGAUGGGUGGAGUUAACACCAUGCCGAACAACCGCCACGUCCUACUCGCACAAGUGAUGAACACGACUGAAAAACCAAGAAUGGAGUCAAUACCACAACUGCUGCUUUCUAAGCAUCCAUCUCUGUGCAAGAUUACUCCCACUAAAAACCCUUAAAGGUCUCCAUACAUGCAAUUUGAGCCACACUGUGCAAUGUGGUUCUAAUACACUUGGGCAAGACGUCAUAUUUGAUGCAUACUGUUGUUGGCAUACCCACUGGAUCACGUGCCAUUUAUGUCUCUUCUACUUUCUUCUAUGCUACAUCGUCCUCCCCUCGUCCAUCGCAACUCAACCUAAGUCUCUCCUUUGCUGGAAUCCUAAAGUUUUGCUGUGGAAGUUUAGUCCCAAGCUAUUUUUGUUUGCAGGACUCCACUGCCAUGACCAAAGAUAUCAUGAUCCUUUCAAAGUCUCACACUGUUUACGGUUUUACACCAAAGUGUUUUGGCUUUUAAAAAAAGUUCCUCAAGCGGUGGAAGCUGGGUGUUUUCAAAAGUGUGCUUGGUGUUUACAGUAAAAAUAAAUUUGGGUGGAGACAUCUAUCAAUAUUGCUAGUUUUUAAUGUAUCAAAGGUGUACUUUAGUACUUUUCCUUCCACCACUGCACAGAUGUACAUACAUGUAACCUAUAUUUCCAAACAGUAAAGGAAAAUGCACGAAUGGCGAUAAUGACUAAAUCAGAGGCUCCCUUCCAUGUGCAAGGCCUUUCCUUCCAGCCUUAGAAACAUGGACCAUAUUACACUGAAUUGGUUGCUGAUGGCUCUGAUCGUUUGCUGAAAUCCUGCCUCCUGCCUGUUCUUCAGUGGUAUCAGACUGUUAGUGGUGGAAAGCUACACUGAUUCAAAACCCAGUAAAUCAGACCUGGGUCAAACAGCAUUGUGAGCGCUCUCGCUUAAGGCCUUUUCACUGCUUUGAUACCAAAAGGGUGAGGUUUGCUCAACAGGGCAGACUGCUUUAGUGCUGUAAGGUUUGCUCUGGUAGGGCCAUUAAACUUGAAUAUGAAACGGCUCUACUAGUUGGAUAGUGUCUUUUUUAACUGUUGAAAUUUCCGUGUCAGGAGAUUGUAUGUGAGCAUGUAACAAUUUUAUUUCAAAGUAAAAGAAUCCACUGUUGACUUUUUCAGAAACAUAUUGUGCUGCUAAUACUUGAAUCGAAAGUGUGUCUUGCAGUCAGUUUUACACCCUUUUACUUUCGCUAAGGAAAUGAUUUGUCUUCCAGACAAUCACAGGAUGUUUGAGUGCCAGUCUUGUCUAUUUAGGUUACAAAGGCACAACUGAGCAUUCACUAACUGAGCUCUACCCAUGAAGGAGCAAACAUCACCUUCUUGGUAUUUUAAGCAAGUUCAAACAACCUCUAAGAUGUGACCGUACUGUCUACUUCACCCAGGUCAGCAAAAGAUAUGUCUUUUCAAACAAACAAAAAAAACGUAUACGAUAAUUUUUACUCUAAUUUGUCUUCAGAUUUUGCUCGAGGACGAGAGGCUUGCAUUGAACUUUCUAAGAACAUUUUAGAGAUCUUUUCAGCGAGGCUUUGCAGAUUAUCUAAGCAAUACAAAUGUUAAAAAACCCACUUAGUUUACUAACAAUAUAGCUAAGGGUUUCAGUACAAAAUGUAGAAGUUUAUCUGAAAAAUCCUACAACUGUUUAAUGUCUAAUGUUGUUUUUUUCUCUGCAAAGCCCACCUUUACCAACCUUGCGAAAUGCCUUAGAAAGCCUGAAAAUUCCCAGUCCUCACAAUGAAUCUCCAAGUAAAAGCUCUUCAAAGAAAGUGGGAUCUUUUUAGAGAGAAAAAUAGGAAGCAACACAACCCGACAAUACCACACACAAUCACGCACGACCACAACCACGACUCCACAGCACUGAAAAGCUGGAGGUACCAGGCCAGAGCCAAAAUCACAAUAUUCUGACGAGGAGGAUGAGAGGAAGAGGGAGAGCCGAAGAGGGGACAGAUUCGACUUGAGUCCAGCUGCAGAUGGCGGUCUCCAGGAGGUCCCAGGGUCUCCGUGAAUCCGCGCCCUGAGAGCAGCAGUGAACCUGCCGGCCUGGCAGGUUCUGCGUUCCUGCCAUCCAAGAUGACACGUUAAAGGUUAAAGCUGUCACUGUCCGACGCCCUGUCCUGCUCGGACGCUCACUCUGCUGGGAAAUCAGCUUGACAGCAGAAAACAGGAAGAACUGCAGGAGCAC
This is a long non-coding RNA of Astatotilapia calliptera (eastern happy), 3391 nucleotides long. The record is from Ensembl. NCBI's taxonomy places the organism in Eukaryota, Metazoa, Chordata, Actinopteri, Cichliformes, Cichlidae.